CCUUCUCUCCGCGCUAUCGCGGUGCGUACGCGCAUCGAGGAAAGUCCGGACAGCAUAGGGCAAUACACCGGCUAACGGCCGGGGAAUGGGUAACCAUUCACAGACAGUGCCACAGAAAAUAACUACCUCUUAAGGAGGAAAAGGUGAAAAUGUAGGGUAAGAGCCUACAGCGUUUUCCAGUAAUGGACAACGGGGGUAAACCUUGUAUGCUGAAAUGCCAUGUAUACCGGUGGUCGAGAGCGGCCCGUUCAAGUUUACAGCGAUGUGAACACGCCGGAGGGUAGGCAGAUAGAUCUCGCCAGUAAUGGCGCGACCAGAUAAAUGGUAGCGAUCCGCUAAGGUGCAAACCUCGGCGGAAACAGAAUCCGGCUUACAGGAGAGAAGAUUUU
Molecule: RNase P RNA, 389 nt
Filed under: Flavihumibacter sp. CACIAM 22H1
Lineage: Bacteria; Pseudomonadati; Bacteroidota; Chitinophagia; Chitinophagales; Chitinophagaceae
Description: RNase P RNA component class A
Rfam family: Bacterial RNase P class A
About the family: Ribonuclease P (RNase P) is a ubiquitous endoribonuclease, found in archaea, bacteria and eukarya as well as chloroplasts and mitochondria. Its best characterised activity is the generation of mature 5'-ends of tRNAs by cleaving the 5'-leader elements of precursor-tRNAs.
Source: RNAcentral